GGGUACACGAGCGGCGAACGGGUGAGUAACACGUGGGUGAUCUGCCUCGCACUUCGGGAUAAGCCUGGGAAACUGGGUCUAAUACCGGAUAUGACCUUUCAGUGCAUGCUGUUGGGUGGAAAGAUUUAUCGGUGCGAGAUGGGCCCGCGGCCUAUCAGCUUGUUGGCCGGGGUAACGGCCCACCAAGGCGACGACGGGUAGCCGACCUGAGAGGGUGACCGGCCACACUGGGACUGAGACACGGCCCAGACUCCUACGGGAGGCAGCAGUGGGGAAUAUUGCACAAUGGGCGGAAGCCUGAUGCAGCGACGCCGCGUGAGGGAUGACGGCCUUCGGGUUGUAAACCUCUUUCGACAGGGACGAAGCGCAAGGUGACGGGUACCUGUAGAAGAAGCACCGGCCAACUACGUGCCAGCAGCCGCGGUAAUACGUAGGGUGCGAGCGUUGUCCGGAAUUACUGGGCGUAAAGAGCUUGUAGGCGGUU
This 484-nucleotide ribosomal RNA is filed under the name Nocardia brasiliensis. Its description in RNAcentral is "bacterial SSU rRNA". It matches the Rfam family "Bacterial small subunit ribosomal RNA", at positions 85 to 580 of the family's 1533-position model. The record is from RNAcentral. Lineage: Bacteria; Bacillati; Actinomycetota; Actinomycetes; Mycobacteriales; Nocardiaceae.